This 420-nucleotide ribosomal RNA is filed under the name Teleaulax amphioxeia. RNAcentral describes it as "bacterial SSU rRNA". It matches the Rfam family "Bacterial small subunit ribosomal RNA", at positions 360 to 795 of the family's 1533-position model. Lineage: Eukaryota; Cryptophyceae; Pyrenomonadales; Geminigeraceae. The record is from RNAcentral.
AAUUUUCCGCAAUGGGCGAAAGCCUGACGGAGCAAUACCGCGUGAGGGAUGACGGCCUGUGGGUUGUAAACCUCUUUUCUCAAGGAAGAAGUUCUGACGGUACUUGAGGAAUAAGCAUCGGCUAACUCUGUGCCAGCAGCCGCGGUAAUACAGAGGAUGCAAGCGCUAUCCGGAAUCACUGGGCAUAAAGCGUCUGUAGGUGGUUUGGUAAGUCUGCUGUUAAAGACUGGGGCUCAACCCCAGAAAAGCAGUGGAAACUGCUAGACUUGAGUGUGGUAGAGGUAGAGGGAAUUCCUAGUGUAGCGGUGAAAUGCGUAGAUAUUAGGAAGAACACCAAUGGCGAAGGCACUCUACUGGGCCAUAACUGACACUGAGAGACGACAGCUAGGGGAGCAAAUGGGAUUAGAUACCCCAGUAGUC